This 465-nucleotide ribosomal RNA is filed under the name uncultured bacterium. RNAcentral describes it as "partial 16S ribosomal RNA". It matches the Rfam family "Bacterial small subunit ribosomal RNA", at positions 338 to 795 of the family's 1533-position model. The record is from RNAcentral.
CCUACGGGGGGCAGCAGUGGGGAAUUUUGCACAAUGCUCGCAAGACUGACGCAGCCAUGCCGCGUGCAUGACGAAGGCCUUCUGGUCGUAAAGCUCUUUCUACAGGGAGGAAAAUGCCUAUAAGUAACUGUGUAUGUAUUUACGGUACCUGUAUAAGCAGCCCCGGCUAACUCCGUGCCAGCAGCCGCGGUAAUACGGAGGGGGCGAGCGUUGUUCGGAGUGACUGGGCGUAAAGAGCACGUAGGCGGUGUUGUAAGUCAGAAGUCAAAGACUCGAGCUCAACAUUAGAAAUGCCUGUGAUACUAGAAGACUAGAGUAUUAGAGAGGAGUGCAGAAUGCCGGGUGUAGCGGUGAAAUGCGUAGAGAUCAGGAGGAAUACCGAUAGCGAAGGCGGCAACCUGGGCGAAAACUGACGCUGAGGUGCGAAAGCGUGGGGAGCAAACAGGAUUAGAUACCCGUGUAGUC